Molecule: ribosomal RNA, 461 nt
Filed under: uncultured bacterium
Lineage: Bacteria
Description: bacterial SSU rRNA
Rfam family: Bacterial small subunit ribosomal RNA
Source: RNAcentral
AACGAACGCUGGCGGCAUGCCUAACACAUGCAAGUCGAACGGGAUCCAGGCUUCGGCCUGGUGAGAGUGGCGGACGGGUGAGUAACACGUGGGAACCUGCCUUUUGGUUCGGGAUAACCGCGGGAAACUGCGGCUAAUACCGGAUGCUCCCGAGAGGGGAAAGAUUUAUCGCCAGAAGAGGGGCCCGCGUCCGAUUAGGUAGUUGGUGAGGUAAUGGCUCACCAAGCCGACGAUCGGUAGCUGGUCUGAGAGGAUGAUCAGCCACACUGGGACUGAGAUACGGCCCAGACUCCUACGGGAGGCAGCAGUGGGGAAUAUUGGACAAUGGGGGCAACCCUGAUCCAGCAAUGCCGCGUGAGUGAUGAAGGCCUUAGGGUUGUAAAGCUCUUUUGCCAGGGAAGAUGAUGACUGUACCUGGAGAAUAAGCCCCGGCUAAACUUCGUGCCAGCAGCCGCGGUAAU